GCAUUGCAAAGAAAAUGGCCUUUGCUUUUUAUAGCACCCAGAACAACAGCAAAAUGGCACGGCAGCUGGAUCACAUGGAAAUCUAUUUUGUGUAGGAUAUUGGAGACCAAGAUAAGCAGCUUUAUACCUGGAAAUGGGCCUGCCUUUCCUUCAGCUGAACCCUUAAUGUGAAGGCCAGGGGAAAGAGUAAAUCUAGUGACACAACAAUGUGAAAAUACUUUCACUUCAACCCCAUGAAGAUUACAUAGAAGAAAAUGCCAGAUGAAGUUCCUUAUUGUUUCUCAUUCACAGAAUUUAUUUCCACUAAGUUAUUAAAAAAAUGGGCAAAAGAAAGUGGAACUUCAACUGUUCCUUAGGACAAUACGGACUUGUGUUUUUGAAGAAGCAAAGUGGAAAUGAUUAGGCAGCAGGGACUCUUUGCAGAAAAACGUAAGGAGCAAAGAAAAAUUUCUCAGAAAAGGAGAUUUGAAGCACAAUUGUCAUCAGUUCACAGAAGAAUUUUGAAGUUCUGUUUCCAGAGGCCUCUCUCUGCCUGCCCAGAGACUGUACAUCUUCAGAGAUGAGCAAAACUCUGCACUCUGCAAAAUCAGCACCCUCUGUCUAAUCAAAAGUUAACUUGGCCCAGGUUUUAGUUUCUCUGUAAGUUUUGUUGGAAAGUAAUAUAAUAAAUCUUAUUACAAGAUACAGCUGAUUAUGUAUACAUUAUGUCUUUGGAGAAAUUUGCAUUUUAAGAGGAAGGUCAAGGAUGCCUUAAUUACAAACAUUGCAUUUUUGGUUAUUUAAAUAGUAUCUGGGAAAACGGUGAAGAUAUAUAGGAAGUUAAGAAAGAUACCUGUAUCUACCACGUGUGAAAGAUUAUCUCAGUAAAUAGAAUUGGCUACAUAUUCAUCUAUUAUAAUAAUACCAAAAAAGAAGAUAUAUAUCUUCAAAGCGUCACAAUUUUUGUAGUCAGCAAAAUGAAUGGCAAAGAUAAUGAGAGAAUAAAGAUACAAAAAUGAGUAUUUAAAAAUAGAAUUCCAAUGGGAAAACUGUUAAUUUUAAAAAUUAUAUGUAAAGAUGAGGUUGCUGUUAAGCAUUUUACACCAAUAGAGAUAUCAAUUGGAAUAUUUUAUGUGAAGAAAAGAAAUAAUGACUUAACUUUGUCAAUAAAGAAAGCA
RNAcentral lists this long non-coding RNA (1157 nucleotides) under Homo sapiens (human). RNAcentral's name for it is "HSALNT0019516". The record is from RNAcentral. Lineage: Eukaryota; Metazoa; Chordata; Mammalia; Primates; Hominidae.